RNAcentral lists this long non-coding RNA (259 nucleotides) under Cyanistes caeruleus (blue tit). RNAcentral describes it as "lncRNA (ENSCCEG00000016173.1)". Lineage: Eukaryota; Metazoa; Chordata; Aves; Passeriformes; Paridae. The record is from RNAcentral.
AGCUAAAACAUUUAGAGGAUUUUAGUCAUUUAUCUGAAAAAAAUUUUAAAGAUGCAUGAGAAAAUGUUUUCAUGCCAAAACCUCUUGCUGAGCAGCAUCUCUUAUGUCACCCUUCUGCUUUCCUGCUGUUCUGUGUGACAUUUUGUUAUAGCAGGCAGAUUCCUUGAUCAUACAAUUCUACACUGAUCAAGCCUAGUAACAGGUAAAAAGCUAAAAACUGCCUUUUUACAGGUAAUAGAUAUAUGAAACUGGCUUUUUU